UGAUUUUACUUACUCUCCAUCCACUUCUGGUCUUCUACAUACACAAUGAAACUUUCCACCAAAAUCUAUGUACAGAUCAUUCUCCACAAUAUGAAAGAUCCGUCCAAUGACCAGUUUAUCCUUUGCAGGUCCCAUCUGUGUAAGAGGAGAAUGUCUCAGCAUAGAUGCAAAGGAUUCCACAUUUUUUGGAGAACCCUAAAUAUGAAAAGAGAUAUUUAU
Molecule: long non-coding RNA, 219 nt
Filed under: Homo sapiens (human)
Lineage: Eukaryota; Metazoa; Chordata; Mammalia; Primates; Hominidae
Description: HSALNT0139300
Source: RNAcentral